This 406-nucleotide ribosomal RNA is filed under the name uncultured bacterium. RNAcentral's name for it is "partial 16S ribosomal RNA". It matches the Rfam family "Bacterial small subunit ribosomal RNA", at positions 29 to 526 of the family's 1533-position model. The record is from RNAcentral.
AUUGAACGCUGGCGGCAGGCCUAACACAUGCAAGUCGAGCGAGCGGCGGACGGGUGAGUAAUGCCUAGGAAUCUGCCUGGUAGUGGGGGAUAACGUCCGGAAACGGGCGCUAAUACCGCAUACCAUCGGAUGUGCCCAGAUUGGAUUAGCUUGUAGGUGAGGUAACGGCCAACCUAGGCGACGAUCCCUAGCUGGUCUGAGAGGAUGACCAGUAACACUGGAACUUAGACACGGUCCAGAGUCCUGCGGGAGGCAGCAGUGGGGAAUAUUGCACAAUGGGCGCAAGCCUGAUGCAGCCAGGCGGCGGGGAUGAAGAAGGCCUUCGGGUUGGAAAGUACUUUGAGCGGGGAGGCGUUACCCGCAGAAGAAGCACCGGCUAACUCCGUGCCAGCCGCCGCGGUAAUAC